RNAcentral lists this long non-coding RNA (13889 nucleotides) under Homo sapiens (human). RNAcentral's name for it is "HSALNT0332737". The record is from RNAcentral. Lineage: Eukaryota; Metazoa; Chordata; Mammalia; Primates; Hominidae.
CGUCUCCCUCCUACUAAAUGCUGAAUCUCACGAGAGAAGAAAACCAGCCACAUAAAGGAUUUGAAAGCUCAACUUGCUUUCCCACUCUGUUAUCCCUGGAGUUGGCUUGGAUUCACCCUGAAGCCUUCCCCCUCCCGGGGAAAGUUGCUUCACGUUGCAGCUCAGCAGGUUUGUCCAGCUACAUAGGCUCCAGAAAACAAGAAGCAAGACUGGAAAGCUGGGGAUGAUUGUACGCCCUCGCCUGAAUCUUACGUGGUUCCUCCUUCUUCCACCUGGCCAGUGCAGAGCCGUGGGUGCCACGUGGCCACUUCUGGAUUGGGUUCCCCUUGGCCUGCCACCCUGUCCUUCUGCUUUCCCACUUUGCCAGCCAGAGUCAAUUUGAGGACGCCAAGUUCUCCUCUCCAUACAGAGCUCCUGGUCUCCUUGUAACUUGUAACUCCUGGGCACAGUUACAAGUGCUGAAUUCUUGCGAGGAUGAACUCAAGAUACAAAAUAUGCUUGGCAACUCACCCCUGAGUGGCCACAGGCACACGCAGGAGUCGAACCCACCCACCUCUGCUGACAGUCAUGGGUCAAGCUCAAAGUCCUGGCUGCUUCUCUGCUCAAGAUAGUGUCUCACUAUGUUGCCCAGGUUGGAUUCGAACUCCUGUGCUCAAAUGAUCUUCCCCUACCUCCAGGGUAAGUGCUGGGGCCUCUGCCCUCCCAGACAACCUGAUGAUACCUCUGUCUCUUAGCAGCUCUGACCCUGCAUGCAGUUUUCCCUUAUGGUUUUGCUGGAGAAGGGCUUUUGCUAAGCCUCACUGGGAUGUGGUGAGGGCUAAUUAGAUAAUGCCUGUGAAGCCCUUGGAGCUCCUUGGAGAUGGGCUCUCUCUCUAUGUAUUAUUAAUAGUGGUAGAACACAGUGUUUCCAAACUGAGGACCGUGUGGGGAAGGAAGGGCAGUAAAGGGCUGCAGAGGAGACGGUGCCAAAGGAGCCCGUUUUUGGAGAAGGCUGUCAGCCUUCAGCCUUGUCAUGUGAUCUGGGGGGCUGGGGUAAAGGACAGGGACCGCCAUUAAGAAGUAGAAACGUGGGUGUCCCCUCCACAGACAGUACGUGCAUGAACAACAUGAGUGGGCAAAGGACGGUUCCUGUUAAACCUGUCUGUGGCCCUGAUGUGGGAGCCGAGGAGAGACAUCAGUUAGGCUGAGUCCCAGCUGGACUGUGCCCUCCCAGGCUUUUUCCAAUCUGGGAACUGUGCUGGCUUUUAGGACCACUUCCUGGCCUGGCCAGCAUUACCCCCAAGAGAGCUCUCUGCUAACUAGCCAGCUUUUGUUUUCUAAGGGAGGAGGGCAAAUGACCACCCUGACUAACCCUCUCCGCCUGUGUGAAGGUUGUUUGGGAAGUGCCUCAUGCAAAUUUCAGUAUCAAAUGGCCAAGUCAUUAGAGGACUAAUUUGGGGGUGUCUAAUCCUGUGGGAACAGUUGGGUCUCUCCUCCCACUGUUUCCUGUCACUGGAGGAUGUAGCUGGUAGACCUGGCACCUCUGUCCCUGUUGACUGCCCUGUAUCUUCUUGGGUGGGUGGGUGGCUGUCCCUCAAAAGAUAUGUUGAAGUCUGUUAUGAACCAAAUGUUUGCGUCCCCCCAAAAUUCCCACAUUGAAGCCUUAACCCCCAGCGUGUUGUAAUUUGGAGGUGGGGCCUUUGGGAGAUAAUUAGGCUUAGAUGAGGUCAUAAGGGUGCGGCCCUCAUGCCGGGAGCAGUGCCCUUGUUUUUGUUUUGUUUUGAGAUGGAGUUUCACUCUGUCACCCAGGCUGGAGUGCAGUGGUGCGAUCUUGGCUCAUUGUAACCUUCUCCUCCCGGGUCCAAGCGAUUCUCCUGCCUCAGCCUCCCGAGUAGCUGGGAUUACAGGCGCCCGCCACCACACCCAGCUAAUUUUUGCACUUUUAGUAGAGAUGGGAUUUCCCCAUGUUGGCCAGGCUGGUCUUGAACUCCUGACCUCGAGUAAUCCUUCCACCUCAGCCUCCCAAAGUGCUGGGAUUACAGGCGUGAGCCACUGAGCCUGGCCAGAGCAGUGCUCUUGUAAGAAGAGACGUCUGAGCAUUCUUUCUCAUGCUCUCUUGCUCUCUCUGAAAUUGACCCUGCUGACACCUUGAUCUUAGGCUUCCCAGCCUCCAGAACUGUGAGAAAACAAACUUCUGUUGUUUAAACCACCUGGCCUAUGGUAUUUUGUUAUGGCAGCCUGAGCAGACUAAGACAUAGUCUUGACCCCCAGUAACUCAGAAUGUGACCUUAUUUGGAAAUAGGGUUGUUGCAGUAGUAAUCAGGUAAGAUGAAGUCAUACUAAUGUGGAUGGGUCCCCUAGUCCAAAGCAUCUGGUGUCCUUAUAAGAAGAGACAUGGGAAGGGAUGGGCACAGAGGGAAGACAAUGUGAAAACACACAAGGAGAAGGCCGUGUGACAACAGAGACAGAGCUGGGAGCCACGUGUCACAAGCCAGGCACGGUGAAGGAUGGCCAGCAACACCAGGGGGCAAGGGAAAGGCAUGGAGCAGGGGUCCCCAAGCCCUGGUCCAUGGCCUAUUAGGAACUGGGCCACACAGCAGGAGGUGAGCGGCGGGCGGUGGAGCGAAGCUUCAUCUGUAUUUACAGCUGCUCCCCAUGGCCCAUGUUACCGCCUGAGCUCUACCUCCUGUCAGAUCAGUGGCAGCACUGGGUACUCUAUGAGUGUGAACCCUAUUGUGAACGGUGCAUGUGAGGGAUCUAGGUUGCGUGUUCCUUAUGAGAAUCUAAUGCCUGAUGACCUGUCACUGUCUCUCACCCCCACCAGAUGGGACCAUCUAGUUGCAGGAAAACAAGCUCAGGGCUCCCACUGAUUCUACAUUAUGAUGAGUCAUAUAAUUAUUUCAUUAUAUAUUAUAUUACAACGUAAUAAUAAUAGAAAUAACGUGCACAAUAAAUGUAAUGUGCUUCAAUCCUCCUGAAACGACCCCCACCCUCCAUCUGUGGAAAAAUUAUCUCCCACAAAACUGGUCGCUGGUGCCAAAAAGGUUGGGGACCGCCGGCUUAGAGCCUUCAGAACGCGAGGAGCCCUGCCGACACCUUGAUUUCCGACUUCUUAUUUUCAGAACUGUGAUAGAAUGAUUUCCUAUAGCUUUAAAGCACCCAGUUUUGGUACUUUGUUACAGCAGCCCUAGGAAGCUGGCACUCCAGGGUCUGAGGUUUUUCCAUUGCCCUUUCGAUCAGCCCGCAAACACCUCCAUUGAUGUAGAAAGCCAGCCAAGCCGUGUAGGCCUCAGCUCUCUUUGUUUCCCUGUUUCGGGAAGUCUGUGCACUUGGGCUCCCAGGUUCUCCCAUUGAAGCCAGGCCUUCUGCUGCCAAGUUCUCAGACAAAAAUGUUCAAAGGCACAAAAGAGCUUAGAAACCCGGCGGCUCCAGAGCUGUAGGAAAGCACAGCCGUCUUCCUGUUUCGGGAAAGGAUAAGUGUUUCUGAAUAUCAAAAAUCACAAGUCGUUAUUUUCCCUCGUAUAUCAUCACGUGACAUUUUAUUAUGGGACACCCAAACUCAUCACAGGUUAGUCCCAUAAAUUAGCAUGGGGACACGGGCAGGUUUGGUACGAAUUAGUGAAAAUCCCAACACACUGGAUGACCUGGCAGGCUCCGGCAUGGAAACAUCUUUGCUGUGCCUGUCAGCCACCCUCAGGCCUUGAAGGGUGGACAUUAGAAAGCCACUACUGUCCCCCUGCCCCCGUCCCCCAAUAAUUCCAAAUCACAGGGCCUAAAAUAGGUAUCUUUUAGGCACAUAAACCUCAGCUUCUGUUUGUCAUGUGUAUGAACAAACCCAAUAAAAUAUAUCAUGUUACCAAAGCCAGUUGUACCAUGUUAUUUAAACUAGUAAUUAAGAGUCUUAAAGCUGGCUUUUCUACAGUCACUGAACCAUCAGCAUCCCCUGGCUGGUUCUAGGCAGAGAAAGCACAGUGGGGAAAUUUGGACCACAGAUACCUGGCAUUUAUCUUAGGUUAGAUCAUCUUUCAGAAUAAGCAGAAACCUUCAGCAACCUCAAGUCUAGACUCAGCCUCUAGAAGGCCUGCUCAAAAUAGCGCCUGAGGCUUUGCCUGUGGGGAAUGCCCUCCCCAACUGGCAUCUUCCCAUUGCUGGGAGGGGUUGGUACCAUUAACCCAGGAAAUAAAGCUUUCUUUGUCAGCGAGCUGCCCAGUUGACUCAGACCAACCAAGGGUUUCUGCUUCCCCGUGUAUUUACAUUGAAAAAAGAUACAGAGGCUGGGUGUGGUGGCUCAUGCCUGUAAUCCUAGCACUUUGGGAGGCCGAGGUGGGCAAAUCACCUGAGGUCAAGAGUUCGAGACCAGCGGGGCCAACAUGGUGAAACCCCGCCUCCACUAAAAACAUAGAAAUUAGCCAGGCAUGGUGGUGCGUGCCUGUUAUCACAGCUACUCUGGAGGCUGAGGCAGGAGAAUUGCUGGAACCCAGGAGGCAGAGGCUGCAGUGAGCUGAGAUCAUGCCACUGCACUCUAGCCUAGGCAACAGAGUGAGACUCCAUCUCAAAAAAAAGAAAAGAGAUAGAAACUUGUGUGCGGGGUUUCACCAUGUUGGCCAGGCUGGUCUAGAACUCCUGAUCUCAAGAGAUCCACCCACCUCGGCCUCCCAAAGUGCUGGGAUUACCUGCAUGAGCCACUGCACCUGGCUUCAGCCCUUUGUUUUAUCCAAGAGAAGGUCAAGAGCAGAUAAAUUGGAUCUGUGCCCGCAGAGAGAGCCUGCUCCAGCCUCUUUGCUACAGCCUUGAGUCUUCUGCUGUGAUAGGAUGCUAGAGAGGAAAAUUUGGAAUUAGCUUUUAAAAGGAAGAGAAAUGACGGUGUAACCAUCUGCCAAAUACAUGGAAACAACAACAACAAAAACCUCAUCAUUCACCUGGCCUGGCAAAUAGCCUGCAGAUCUGGUUUCUUUUGAAAACAAACCCUAAGUCUGGAACUUUCCAUGCUGAGAGUCCACGUCAGUUUCAAGAAGGCCUGGUAAGAUGUAGCUGAGUAAAAACGAGACUCAAUAUGAAUGAUUACUGCUGUUCUUUCUCACUGGGAAGCCUGGGGACGUCAAGGAUAAAAUGACCUUUUGUACAGUGGUGAUAUUUCUCCAUGUCUCAGCCUUUUUAUCAGCAUAACUAUGGCCAAACCCAGUGCUUUUGUGGAAAACAUUGGUAGCACCGUCAUCUCAGAAGUCUUUAUGUAACUUCCCAUAGUCAUGUCAGAGGAGAUGGGGAUACAAAUCAUCAAACGCUUCUCUUUGGAUUGUGCAAGUCAGCAAAUCAGCUCUGGCGAUUUCCAAAGAGCUAAGACUACCAUCCCUGGGUAUGGUCCCUGAGUCUUCUUUCCCCAUCCUCUACAGCCCCCACUCAAAGAAAGUGCCUCAAACAGAUGGAAUGACGCAGAGGUAGAAUUGCAAACUUCAGAAAUGCAUGCUUAAGAGGGCAGGUGAGCCGGGUGUGGAGGCUUACAUCUGUCUUCCCAGCACUUUGGGAGGCAGAGGAGAGUGGAUUGCUUAAGCCCAGAAGUUCCAGACCAGCCUGGGCAACAUGGCAAAACUCCAUCUUAAUGAAACAUGCAAAAAUUAGCUGGGUGUGGUGGUGCACGCCUAUAGACCCAGCUACUCAGGGAGGAUCACCUGUACCUUGGAGGUCAAGGCUGCAGUGAGCCAUGAUGGCACCACUGCACUCCAGCCUGGGCAGCUGAGCGAGACCCAAUUUCAAGAAAAAAAAAAAAGGCAUGUGAUUAUUUUCUUCCAACAUCCAUCUGUCCCCCAAGUGUUGUAGGUCCUUCUGCACAAAAGUUCCAUACCCUCCCUUCUCCUUUGGUUUUCUAAUUUAAGUGUGAUGAGUAGCAGCCAGCCAAGUGAAAGAAAGGCCUAGGGAUUUCAAAGGAAAGAUACAAGGCUGGCGGCAAAAAGGAAGGGCUUUCUCCUCACUGGGCCCUCUUCAGUGGCUUGAACUGUGAGACUCCUGGAGGUAUCAGCGCUUGGUUCAACCCUAAAAGAAGUUGCAUCAGACAUGGCAACUUUGGCCUGCUUUGCUUGUAUUCUCUGUGGCGAAUGGAGUAUUAAUAAGUGGCUCUCUGGGGAAGUUUGCGCAGCUCAUACUAGAAAACAAAUAGAUACGUAAAGUUCUUGAAUGAUGUAGAUGUGAUGCCAUAUCUGCUCUCCUUCCCAUAAUUUCAGAGAAAAAUCAAGGACGAUGUGUGGUGAACAUAAUUCCUCAUUUUUCCUUUAUCCAUGAAAUAUUUGCUUUAAAGCAGCAGCUAAAACCACAGGUUUUAGUGAGCAGAUUAUUACCUUUCUGAGAGACACAGAGAUUAAGAGAAUGGUCAGUUGCUUGCCACUGAGUAGGGAAAAGGGAGAAAAAUUAUGAUUCAAGGCAUUUUCUCUGCUUCCAGUUAGCUGCUGGGGGGGACUGGAUUAUGCUUCUCCAAUAUCUGAAGGGUUGUUGAGCUGAAGGCAGUAAGAAGCAAAUGCAGGAAAGCUCUCAUCUUCCCCUCUGGUUACCUAAAAGCAGGACAUAGAUUUACAAAGACAAAAGGUACCCUGGCCACCCCUCCUCCCGGAGAGAACAAAGGUUAACCACUGAAGGCAACUUUGUACUCUUAUUGGCCUGGAGAUGGAACCAGAGGAAUCUACAUUAACAAGCUUUACAAAUGAGCCUUUGACUGAUAGUUAUUUGCCCCCCUCCAAGUUACCACCCAUAAAGAUUCAAAAUCCUUUGCUUUUGUCUUGCCACUUUUUUACAAAUUUCAUAGCCAGCACGAUGGCUCAUGUGUGUAAUCCCAACAGUUUGGGAGGCUGAGGUGAGAGUAUGGCUUCAAAUCAGGAGUUUGAGACUAUCCUGGGCAACAUAGCAAGACCCUGUCUCAAAAAAAAAAAAAAAUUAGGCAGGCAUCGUGGUUCACACCUGUAGUCCCAAUUACUCAGGAGGCUGAGGUGGAGGGAUUGCCUGAGCCCAGGGUUCAAGACUGGCCUGUGCAAUAUAGCAAGACCCCAUCCCUAAAAAAUAAAAAACACCUAUCAGGGUGGGUGCAUGCCAGUAGCCUCAGCUACUCAGGAGGCUGAAGAGAGAGGAUCACUUGAGUCCAGCAGGUUGGGACAGCAGUGAGCUAUGAUUGUGUCUCUGUACUUCAGCCUGAGUGACAGAGCAAGACCCUGUCUCAAAAAAGAAAAAAAAAAGUUUACUAUUUGUUGUUGAAAAUGCUAUAUAAGCUGGAAUUCAAAGCCACCUCUUUGAGAAUUACUCAUUUUCUGGGUAUAUAUGAAAUAUACAUGGUAAUAUGUGACAUAUACAUGGUAAUAAACUUCUGUUUGUUUUUCUCUUGUUUUCUCUUGUCUUUUGUAACAGGGGUCCUUUCCAACCAAGAACCUAUGGGGUCUAGUCUUCCCCUACACUGCCUUUCACUCACCACUGGGCUGCCUGCUUUAAGCUAGGAAUCAAGAGACAGUGGCCUUCCACAGGUGCCUCGACAGGUGCCUCAGCUUCCAAACAGACACAGGAAGGACCCCAGCAUGGUAGCAUUCAUCUCAUUCACCUUUAUUGGGUUAAAAGUGUGUGAGACACAAAACUGAAACUUGAAAGUUAAGAAACUUGAAAGUUAAGUAACAGCUUUUCUCUGUCUUCGUAUUUUUCUCCCAAAUACAUGCAAUCUCUAGAGAACUUCAAGAAAACUUCCUCUCUAAGCAGCAGAGAAUAGCUUGCAGAAGAGGGAAAAAUUCAAGAUCUAUUGUAUUUUAUUGAUUUAUACCUGGUUUUGUUCCAAAAUUGUUGUUAGCUGCAUGCAUAAUUAACUCUACCACUGACUGCCGUGUAACUUACUCCAAGUUCUCUUUAUUGUAGUUUCAUGCACGGCCUUGGCAUAUCCAAAGAUUAAUGAAGAUGGAUCCAAAUCCUUACUACUAAGCAAAAAGCCUCCAAGCAAAUAACAAUGGACUGAAGAGUUACCUUUGUAGGCAUAAACGUAUCAUUACAAUUAAAGAGAUGUCAAAUGAGCCAGUUGUGUGCUAGAUAAUGCUGAGGCUCAGGACACACUACCACAAAACAUGGUACCUUUCCAUUUGAGAAAACAGCAGAAGCAGGAAAGUCACUCUCACCUUCCCCACUGCCCUUCUCCCCUGAAGCAGGUCCUAAAACCUGUGACGGAUUCUCUGACCUUCACCUAAGCAGGUCAUAAGACCCUCGUUAUUUGAGAGGUGCCCUCCUUGUACCUGGAGGAAGGGAAUGUCCCUAUCUCUGAAGACGGGCACAGGAAGAAUCUGAACAAACAGGCCUUCCUAACUUCCCCACAGUUAUUACCAUGAGGUCAGACCCCCUUUGUUCAAUCACACUUCUCCAUAACUGUCCAUUUCUUCCUCAAACCUAGCAUCAUAAAUACCAGGUUUCCUUGCUUCUUUGGAUCUUCCUUUCCUUAUGAAGGCUCCCAUGUCAUGUAAAACCUAUACAUACAUUUGUUUGCUUUUCUUUUGUUCAUCUGUCUUUUGGUACAGGGGCCUCAGUCAUGAACCCAGUGAAGGGUGACAAAAGAAAUAUUUUUUCCCCUAGAAUGCAAUAGCCCACUAGUGCUCUCAAAGAUGCUGGACUUCUCUGUGAUGUUAUUUAUCCAGGAACAUUGGAGAACUAAAGGUGAUAAGAAGAAAAGAGGCAUGGAAAGCCAAUAACACAGCCAGUACCUUUGGCCAAUUGAAGCUGGCCAACUUCAAGCUAUCACUGGGCCUUAAUAAUUGUACAAAGGGAUGGGCAGUUCUGGGGCUGCACCCACAUAUCUGUGAGCUCUGCUCGGCGGUGUUUUGAGGAUAACCCUUAUCCCAGAUUUUUCAAAGUAUUGUGGUCUUGAUGGCCAGUUUCUUACGUACUCCAGAUGACUACUGCCAUGCAUGAUUGCAAAGGCUGUGCAAAUAUCAAGGACGGUUAAGGUGCUGGCGCUUUUUGUGACUCAACCUCCUUUUUCUUCAAAUCUUUAUUUUAUUUUCCUUUCAUAAUGUAACCAAUCUUUCUCACAAAAAAUUGCUUUGGGUUGCAGUGGAGAAGAAUUUUAGGAUUUUCCCGACCUGUCUUAUAUUGCUCUUUAACAACUUGUGCCUAAACUAUGGAUUUUUUUUUUUUUUUUUGUCUUUUAAAGGUAUGGAGUGAAGAAUCAGUAGUUGGUCAAGGGGAAGUGUCACUGGAAAACCAAGAUCCCCAAAGGCUUAGUUUUUUCUUUUUUUCCUGCUAACAUCUCUAAAAAGAAUUUUCCUGCAGAGCAACAGUAACAUAAAUUGACAGACAGCUGAUGUGUGUUCUUAGCAGUUUCAUUCAUUGGACAGCCUUGGUGAUUAUUAUAUUUCUCUCUCUACGACACUUGACUCAUUUACCAGCCUCAUUCCUGGUGACGCGUGUGCUGAAACACGCAGCCAAGUGUUAGUACCAGGUGGGGUGAUAGGCCAGCUCCCUGCCAGUUGCAUUUAUUUAGAGUGAAGAGGACAACAUUGAAGUGGCAUGAACAAGGCCCAGGGAAGGCUCCCAGGAAGGAGCCAGUCGACAGAUGGCAAAAGAGACUCAGGGUAUCUUUUUGCACAGGGGUCUCCAAAUAGCCAGAGGAUCUGUGCUCAGGGCAUUAUAAACACAUCACCUUAUGUUACCUUCAUCUGUGUCUACCCAGCGGUAACUCUGAUUUUUUUUUAAAUUGUGUUUGCAGGUUAGCUGCUUCAUUUGGAAAAAACUAGGAAGAGCACCGUCACCUCAGCUUCAGCUCUCCUCUUGUUUUUUCUUGGUUCUCUCUGUUCUUGCCCACCAGCCCCAUGUGUCAGGUUUGAAUCUAGGCUGGUGAAUACAUUUUGCAGGAGAUGAUAUGUAACUAGGGUACCGCUUCUCUUUCAUCAUUAUUCACUUUUUAUUUCAUCAUUCUUCACUUUUUCCUUGGUCUGCUUUCAUCUAACUAGGGGUGCCUCGGCUGACAAGGUGGACUUCUCAAGUGAGAGGUUGUAUUUUCUCUCUUCUUUUAUUAGACAUGUGGAAGUUUGGGCUCAUAGGACUAAUUAGACUAUUGAGGAAGUGAUGGGUAAAAGUCUCACACACCUUUCUUUCUUCCUUGAUAGUGUAGGGGAAGAAAAAUCAUUUUUUUCUCCAAUCUUCAUAACUUCUUAGUUGGAAUGGACCCCUGUUACAAAAGACAGAUUAACAAUUGAAAAACAGUUUAUUAACGUGUAUUUCACAUACCCAGAAAAUGAGCCUCUCAAAUAGGUGGCUUUGGAUUCCAGCUUGUAUAGCAAGUUUAACAAUGAACAGUAAAAUUUUAAAAACAAGACAAAGGAAAAGAACUUUGAGUCUCUAGAGGCUGGUGGCAACUUGGAGGAGGGCAAAUAACUGUCAGAUAAAGGCUCACUAGUAAAGCUUGUUAAUGUAGAUUCCUCUCCAGGCCAAUAAGGGCCCAAAGUUGUCUUCUCCCUGGUAGGCAGUAUAUCUUUUGCAUUUUGGUAAAUACAGAGAGAGCAGAGAAAUUUCCUGUAUCAGCUUUUAAAUUGCCUUCAGCACAACAAUGCUUCAUAGUCUGGGGUGGCAUAUUUUGAUCUCCCACAAUAUGUAUCUUGAGGUUAUUUCUGGAGACAGAGGAGGCAGGCCUGUUGUGUUUUAAAGAGUGAUAUUUAUACAUGUGUAACAAAGAACAUAUUUUGCUGACUAUUUUUCACUCUAUGAACAGGUGGUCUUGCUGUGGGGCACUUCCUUGAAUCUUAAAUCGUUGAUUACACAUGAAAAUGUCUGCAUUGCAGACAGAGAGACAGCACUUAUGAAGAUGGGGUGGCAUUGAGAGGACUGGGAUGUUCUGGGAUACAAGAGUGAUCAGAGUACCUGGAGCUUGGGAGAGGAGAGGGGAGAGGAGAGGAGAGAGAAGGCUCAGAAGUGCUUUUGAGCCAGAUCAGGAAGGGCUCAAAGCCUUGCAAAGCAGUUUGGGCUUUUUCUUGAAGGUGAAAGGAAAACCUCUGAAAGAUUUUAUGCAAGGACUGGCCAGACCAUUUUCACAUUUACAAAAUAUAAUGAUGGCAGAAUGGAGCAGCAGUAUGGAGAACAGCUGAGGGGCACAGGUGAUGGACAAGAUGUUUGAUAAAGAGGUGAUUGAAGUAACCCAUCGGAAAAAUAAUGAUGGCCUGAACCAAGUACGUUAGGAGAUGAACUUGAAAGUUAUUAAGAAAGUAGAAUGGGUGCCCCUGAUUUCUAUCUUGCCUUUCUGAUAGCCACUAGAAUGGCAUUUGGUGGCUCCUUUCUCUUUGUGGAUAGACAUGUGUUAUUGGGGGGAAUAAAGGGCCCAGUCAAAAACCUAAGUCUUCCAGACACCGUUGCAAGGGGGCUAAUGAGAUAUGGCCUAAAUGACAGGCUGGGCUUCCGGAAAACUUUUAAUGGGGGCUUACUCAGCUGGAGGUGCCUUAAUUGCAUCUUCCCUCUUUCUCUUUCUUUCUGCCUGGAACUUGGGAAUAGCCAUCUUGAAUGUAGGGAGUGAGUUGAAGGAUUUGAGGAGGGACUCGUUUAUGGCUUGGCUGAAAGGGUAGAUGAUAGUUGCAAGACACGGAACGUAAGGGAGAUUUAGGGGCCAGGAUGGUGCAUUUUGUUUUGUACAUGUUAAGUCUGAGGAAUCUCUACGAUGGCCAGUCUGUGUCCAGGAAACAACGGGAUGUGGACCUGGGCGAGAGAAAUACACCUGGAAACCAUCACUUGCCAGAGAACAGUUGACACGAUGGAAGUGUAUGAGGUCCCUGGGGAGGGUGUCUGAGAAAAGGGCCAAGGGCAGAGCCUGGGGAGCCCAGCACUGGGGCAUGAUGCAGCCCUGAGCAGGACAGGGGAGAAGCAUCCAAGGAGCUGGGGAGACGCCCUGGAGAGGGCAGUGUCCUGGACAUCAAGGACAUUCAGAGGACACAGUGGUCUCUAAUGCCACAGUAAGAAAGGACUUAGGGGACAGUGGGGUCAGGAAGGAAAAUGGCCAGAGGACUGCUGCUUUCUACAAAAAAGACUCUCAGAACCAUCUACACACAGAAGGUGGCCACAGGCGCAAUUUGUGUCAUGAUGCCACCACACUUGUGAUUCUCUGGAGUCUUGUAAUACCCUGUUAUUGGUUCCUUUUUUAAUACAAUUCUCUCUCCCAUCAACUUAUCUAUCUCUCCAACUGUGUCAAUGAUAUAUUUCACUUAAGAUCAAAAUGAAUGCACAUGCAUUAAAUGUUCAUUUUAAGUUCUUUCUUUUUCUUUUUUGAGACGAAGCUUUGCUCUUGUUGCCCAGGCUGGAGUGCAGUGGCGUGAUCUCGAAUCACUGCAAUCUCCACCUCCCGGGUUCAAGCGAUUCUCCUGCCUCAGCCUCCUGAGUAGCUGGGAUUACAGGCAUGCGCCACCAUGCCCGGCUAAUUUUGUAUUUUUAGUAGAGAUGGGGUUUCUCCAUGUUGAUCAGGCUAGUCUCAAACUACUGACCUCAGGUGGUCUGCCCACCUCAGCCUCCCAAAGUGCUGGGUUUACAGGCGUGAGCCCCCUUGCCCAGCCAAGUUAUUUCUUGAUAAAGAGUUUUGGGGGAUCCCUUGUAGCACACCGAUGUGAAACCCAUCGAGACUGGAUUCUGUGUUCUGUUCAUUAAAUACGUCACUGUGAAGGACUCUGAUAGAAGAGAAAAAAGGCUUUUAAAGAAGGUUAAAAAAAAAAGACAAGGCAGUGGGCAAGAAUGCUUUGGUUUUCCUUGUGUGCUGUGGCAGUGGUACCAACAGAAUUUCCUUCCCCCAUGGUGGGACCUAUGAGCUCAGGGCCUCUGCCCUUUGCCACAUGCUGAACUGAGGUAUCAUGAGCUGGAUCUGUCUUCUGUCUCUAAAGUCAAAGUAGGAUGAUGCUUUCUUAACUUCUAAUUUAUUUUCUUAAACUGAGAAGUGAGGAGUAUGUCUUCUGGGGAAUGUCCUCAGAUUGCAUCAGCCAGGAGCCGUGAGGACCAGCUCUCUCCCUGGUCCAGGUCUCUCAAGGAUGCUCAGAGAACCUGUUCUGGCUCUGGGCAGCUUCCUGCUUAGAGUGAUGAAAAUAAUUGUUUUCUCAUCUAAAUGACUGUUGAGCGAUGAACUCAUUGCUUUUAGGUCUCUAAUAGGGCACUCCCCGGGGAACAGGUGAUAGUCCUCAUCUGAAACAAUUUAAUUGGGAAGAGAUUUCACUUGGUAUCUCCAAGAAGGACCCCAGGCCCUGCUUCCAUAAGCAGUGCCUUGCCACAUAGGAGCUGUGGCUGCUUCUUGACCCAUUAGCUAGGUCAAGAGUGUUAAGAACACUCUGAACAUUUACUGGGAACUCACUGGAUGUAAAGUUUCUCUUUAAGAUGUCACAUGGUGACAGAUUCAAGAUAUGAUGCCUGCUCUCGAGUGGCUUAAACUCUCCAUUUGGGUGAAGGUUAGAGAGGAAGAGGGAAAAACACUCUUGUUUGAAUGCAUCAAUUUUAGGCUAAAUAUCUAGAAGCAUAUGCAUUAUAAACACAUGAUCCAUCACAGGUAUAAACAUGAAACUCCACUUAUCUGGUGUUCACUUAUUCAAUCAGCUCAGCUAUCCAGAAAAAAGCUGAGAUCUCAGAGCAGACACAGUUUAUUAAAAAAAAAAAAAAUUAGGAUUCUACAGUUCAAAAACUUUGCUUGCAUUGUUCUGAAUUCAUUUCCUCUUAUUUUGGAUAUAUUCUAGAAAGCUUUUCCAGAACAUACCAGAUUAACGUUGUGGAGGUGAGCUGGCCCAGGCAAUGGCAAUAGACUGCCUAGAAGGAGCUGGCCCAGGCAAUGGCAAUAGACUGCCUACAAGGAGAAGUAAUUUCUGAGGACCUCACAUUAAAGCAAUGGUUCCCACACUUUUCAGACAUGCUUUAGCAUCCUCCGGAUAUCUUUCAUUAAUUUUUAAACUCAGGCC